Molecule: unclassified non-coding RNA, 328 nt
Filed under: soil metagenome
Description: partial contains 5.8S ribosomal RNA, internal transcribed spacer 2, and large subunit ribosomal RNA
Rfam family: 5.8S ribosomal RNA (bases 1-120)
Source: RNAcentral
GAUGAAGAACGUAGCGAAAUGCGAUAAGUAAUGUGAAUUGCAGAAUUCAGUGAAUCAUCGAAUCUUUGAACGCACAUUGUGCCCCCUGGUAUUCCGGGGGGCAUGCCUGUCCGAGCGUCAUUACAACCCUCAAGCUCAGCUUGGUGUUGGGCCCCGCCGCCCCGGCGGGCCCUAAAGUCAGUGGCGGUGCCGUCCGGCUCCGAGCGUAGUAAUUCUUCUCGCUCUGGAGGUCCGGUCGUGUGCUCGCCAGCAACCCCCAAUUUUUUUCAGGUUGACCUCGGAUCAGGUAGGGAUACCCGCUGAACUUAAGCAUAUCAAUAAGCGGAGA